This 775-nucleotide ribosomal RNA is filed under the name uncultured Streptobacillus sp. RNAcentral describes it as "bacterial SSU rRNA". It matches the Rfam family "Bacterial small subunit ribosomal RNA", at positions 65 to 858 of the family's 1533-position model. The record is from RNAcentral. Lineage: Bacteria; Fusobacteriati; Fusobacteriota; Fusobacteriia; Fusobacteriales; Leptotrichiaceae.
UAUGAGGAAGUUAGCUUGCUAAAUGGACUCAUGGCGGACGGGUGAGUAACGCGUAAAGAACUUGCCCUUUAGACUGGGAUAACAGAGGGAAACUUCUGAUAAUACUGGAUAAGUUAGUAUAUCGCAUGAUAUGCAAAUGAAAGCUACGGCACUAAAGGAGAGCUUUGCGUCCUAUUAGCUAGUUGGUAAGGUAAGAGCUUACCAAGGCGAUGAUAGGUAGCCGGCCUGAGAGGGUGGACGGCCACAAGGGGACUGAGAUACGGCCCUUACUCCUACGGGAGGCAGCAGUGGGGAAUAUUGGACAAUGGAGGGAACUCUGAUCCAGCAAUUCUGUGUGUGUGAAGAAGGUUUUAGGACUGUAAAACACUUUUAGUAGGGAAGAAAAAAAUGACGGUACCUACAGAAGAAGCAACGGCUAAAUACGUGCCAGCAGCCGCGGUAAUACGUAUGUUGCGAGCGUUAUCCGGAAUUAUUGGGCUUAAAGGGCAUCUAGGCGGUAAGACAAGUUGAAGGUGAAAACCUGUGGCUCAACCAUAGGCUUGCCUACAAAACUGUUGAACUAGAGUACUGGAAAGGUGGGUGGAACUACACGAGUAGAGGUGAAAUUCGUAGAUAUGUGUAGGAAUGCCGAUGAUGAAGAUAACUCACUGGACAGAAACUGACGCUGAAGUGCGAAAGCUAGGGGAGCAAACAGGAUUAGAUACCCUGGUAGUCCUAGCUGUAAACGAUGAUCACUGGGUGUGGGGAUGCGAAGUCUCUGUGCCGAAGCAAAAGC